This 231-nucleotide ribosomal RNA is filed under the name Salmonella enterica subsp. enterica serovar Cerro. RNAcentral's name for it is "partial 23S ribosomal RNA". It matches the Rfam family "Bacterial large subunit ribosomal RNA", at positions 12 to 242 of the family's 2925-position model. Lineage: Bacteria; Pseudomonadati; Pseudomonadota; Gammaproteobacteria; Enterobacterales; Enterobacteriaceae. The record is from RNAcentral.
CUAAGCGUACACGGUGGAUGCAAUGGCAGUCAGAGGCGAUGAAGGGCGUGCUAAUCUGCGAUAAGCGCCGGUAAGGUGAUAUGAACCGUUAUAACCGGCGAUACCCGAAUGGGGAAACCCAGUGUGAUUCGUCACACUAUCAUUAACUGAAUCCAUAGGUUAAUGAGGCGAACCGGGGGAACUGAAACAUCUAAGUACCCCGAGGAAAAGAAAUCAACCGAGAUUCCCCCA